UUGCCUACGGGACGCAGCAGUGGGAGAUAUUGCACAAUGGGGGGAACCCUGAUGCAGCGACGCCGCGUGAGCGAAGAAGUACCUCGGUAUGUAAAGCUCUAUCAGCAGGGAAGAAAAUGACGGUACCUGACUAAGAAGCCCCGGCUAAAUACGUGCCAGCAGCCGCGGUAAUACGUAUGGGGCAAGCGUUAUCCGGAUUUACUGGGUGUAAAGGGAGCGCAGGAGGCCUGCCAAGUCUGAUGUGAAAACCCGGGGCCCAACCCCGGGCCUGCAGUGGAAACUGGCGGGCUGGAGUGUCGGCGUGG
This 305-nucleotide ribosomal RNA is filed under the name uncultured bacterium. RNAcentral's name for it is "bacterial SSU rRNA". It matches the Rfam family "Bacterial small subunit ribosomal RNA", at positions 335 to 657 of the family's 1533-position model. The record is from RNAcentral.